RNAcentral lists this ribosomal RNA (406 nucleotides) under uncultured bacterium. Its description in RNAcentral is "partial 16S ribosomal RNA". It matches the Rfam family "Bacterial small subunit ribosomal RNA", at positions 30 to 526 of the family's 1533-position model. The record is from RNAcentral.
AUUGAACGCUGGCGGCAGGCCUAACACAUGCAAGUCGAACGAGUGGCGGACGGGUGAGUAAUGUCUGGGAAACUGCCCGAUGGAGGGGGGUAACUACUGGAAACGGUAGCUCAUACCGCAUACAAUCGGAUGUGCCCAGAUGGGAUUAGCUAGUAGGUGGGGUGACGGCUCACCUAGGCGACGAUCCCUAGCUGGUCUGAGAGGAUGACCAGCCACACGUUGACUGAGACACGGCCCAGACUCCUCCGCGAGGCAGCCUUGGGGAAUAUUGCACAAUGGGCGCAAGCCUGAUGCAGCCAUGCCGCGUGUAUGAAGAAGGCCUUCGGGUUUUAAAGUCCUUUCAGCGAGGAGGCGUUACUCGCAGAAGAAGCACCGGCUAACUCCGUGCCAGCAGCCGCGGUAAUUC